RNAcentral lists this ribosomal RNA (159 nucleotides) under uncultured marine bacterium. RNAcentral's name for it is "partial small subunit ribosomal RNA". It matches the Rfam family "Bacterial small subunit ribosomal RNA", at positions 356 to 506 of the family's 1533-position model. The record is from RNAcentral.
GGGGAAUAUUGGACAAUGGGCMGCAAGCCUGAUCCAGCCAUGCCGCGUGUGUGAAGAAGGCUCUAGGGUUGUAAAGCWCUUUCAGUAGGGAGGAAAAGYUAGUAGUUAAUAACUGCUAGCCMUGACGUUACCUGCAGAAGAAGCACCGGCUAACUCCGU